This 65-nucleotide transfer RNA is filed under the name Ophiura sarsii. RNAcentral describes it as "tRNA-Glu". The record is from RNAcentral. Lineage: Eukaryota; Metazoa; Echinodermata; Ophiuroidea; Amphilepidida; Ophiuridae.
ACUCUUAUAGUUUAAGAAAAACGGUAGAUUUUCUUCCUACAAAUUUCCUUCAAGGAAUAAGGGUU